GGCGCGGCCGGUACGGCACACACCUCCGGUAGGUGGCGGAGGGGCUACCGAUGUUCCCGUUGGGGUUCGAGGUGGAGAGAAGGGGCCAGCUUGGGAUCAGCGGUGAGGAGUAGGGGUAGAACGGAGAGAGUGGGUUCUAAGUCGGCGCGCACUGCGCCAGCAGCGGCUCAACGGCAGCACGUGUACCGGUGGCUGGGAGAGGGGCGGUGCGGCUGCUCGGGACCUCCUGACGGCAGCAGAUGGAGUGGGAGACGCGGUGGCCUAACCUCGGCCCUCGGGGGUAGAGGCAGCGGGUGUAGCAGAAACAGAGCCCAGCAGUGACAGUCGGCAGAAGCUAGGCGAGGUGGGGCUCGGAGAGGCCGUAGGGGCUCGAGCGAAAACGUGCUGAUGUCCCGGGGAACAACGUUGGUCUACCACCUAGGAACCUCGGUCUACGGUGGCGGCUGCCUACGACGAUGCACCUCUGGCGGCUACUGAUCCUCAUCAAUCCUCCAGGGUCCGUCCUCCGUAACGGAGAAGCUAGCAACUAAAAACACGAUCGGAAGAAUUCCUUAGGAACAGAUUGAAUACAGACAUGAGUCUAUAAUAACGAAGGCGACUGAGAACACAUAGCUCGAACAUAAGCUCGGGAGCUCCGGGGACCGAACAUUAUAUUUCGAACAUAAUAAAACUAAACACAGAUCUCAACACAACACUAUAGAAAGGCACUCAGGGACUAGAAAUAGCAUGUGCAAACGCACAUACUAAUCACAUGCCAACUUAUCCCCCGCAGUGUUUUGU
This 780-nucleotide ribosomal RNA is filed under the name Triticum aestivum (bread wheat). RNAcentral describes it as "partial small subunit ribosomal RNA". The record is from RNAcentral. Lineage: Eukaryota; Viridiplantae; Streptophyta; Magnoliopsida; Poales; Poaceae.